Molecule: ribosomal RNA, 254 nt
Filed under: uncultured bacterium
Lineage: Bacteria
Description: partial 16S ribosomal RNA
Rfam family: Bacterial small subunit ribosomal RNA
Source: RNAcentral
UACGUAGGGGGCAAGCGUUGUCCGGAUUUAUUGGGCGUAAAGCGCUCGCAGGUGGUUCGAUACGUCGUGCGUGAAAGACCCCGGCUCAACUGGGGAGUGUCGUGCGAUACGGUCGGACUGGAGGCCAGUAGGGGGAUGCGGAAUUCCGGGUGUAGUGGUGGAAUGCGUAGAGAUCCGGAGGAACACCAGCGGCGAAGGCGGCAUCCUGGACUGGUCCUGACACUCAUGAGCGAAAGCGUGGGGAGCGAGUCCGG